UACGGAGGGUGCAAGCGUUAUCCGGAUUCACUGGGUUUAAAGGGUGCGUAGGCGGGUAGGUAAGUCAGUGGUGAAAUCCUGGAGCUCAACUCCAGAACUGCCAUUGAUACUAUCUAUCUUGAAUAUUGUGGAGGUAAGCGGAAUAUGUCAUGUAGCGGUGAAAUGCUUAGAUAUGACAUAGAACACCCAUUGCGAAGGCAGCUUACUACGCAUAUAUUGACACUGAGGCACGAAAGCGUGGGGAUCAAACAGGAUUAGAUACCCUGGUAGUCCACGCCCUAAACGAUGGAUACUCGACAUACGCGAUACACUGUGUGUGUCUGAGCGAAAGCAUUAAGUAUCCCACCUGGGAAGUACGUUCGCAAGAAUGAAACUCAAAGGAAUUGGCGGGGGUCCGCACAAGCGGUGGAGUAUGUGGUUUAAUUCGAUGAUACGCGAGGAACCUUACCUGGGCUAGAAUGCUGGGAGACCGCUAGUGAAAGCUAGUUUUGUAGCAAUACACUGCCAGUAAGGUGCUGCAUGGCCGUCGUCAGCUCGUGCCGUGAGGUGUUGGGUUAAGUCCCGCAACGAGCGCAACCCCUAUCUUUAGUUGCCAACAGGUAAUGCUGGGAACUCUAAAGAAACUGCCGCCGUAAGGUGUGAGGAAGGAGGGGAUGAUGUCAGGUCAUCAUGGCCUUUAUGCCCAGGGCUACACACGUACUACAAUGGGGGAGACAAAGGGCUGCAACAUAGCGAUAUGAAGCCAAUCCCAAAAACUCCCUCUCAGUUCAGAUUGCAGGCUGCAACUCGCCUGCAUGAAGCUGGAAUCGCUAGUAAUCGUAUAUCAGCAAUGAUACGGUGAAUACGUUCCCGGACCU
This 857-nucleotide ribosomal RNA is filed under the name uncultured bacterium. RNAcentral's name for it is "bacterial SSU rRNA". It matches the Rfam family "Bacterial small subunit ribosomal RNA", at positions 524 to 1381 of the family's 1533-position model. The record is from RNAcentral.